RNAcentral lists this microRNA precursor (131 nucleotides) under Chlorocebus sabaeus (green monkey). RNAcentral's name for it is "miRNA (ENSCSAG00000027580.1)". Lineage: Eukaryota; Metazoa; Chordata; Mammalia; Primates; Cercopithecidae. The record is from RNAcentral.
CAACAGAAAUUUAUUUUCUCACAAUUCUGGAGGCUGGAAGUCCAAGAUCAAGGUGUUGGCAGGUUUGGUUUAUUCUAAGGCCUUCCUCCUUGGCUUGCAGAUGGCUGUCUUCUCCCUAUAUCUUCACGUGG